Molecule: transfer RNA, 71 nt
Filed under: Candidatus Bathyarchaeota archaeon
Lineage: Archaea; Thermoproteati; Candidatus Bathyarchaeota
Also listed under: 1 other name
Description: tRNA-His
Rfam family: tRNA
About the family: Transfer RNA (tRNA) molecules are approximately 80 nucleotides in length.
Source: RNAcentral
GCCGCUGUGGGGCAACGGUAGCUCAUCGGCCUGUGGAGCCGAGGAACCGGGUUCAAUUCCCGGCAGCGGCC